This 452-nucleotide ribosomal RNA is filed under the name uncultured bacterium. Its description in RNAcentral is "bacterial SSU rRNA". It matches the Rfam family "Bacterial small subunit ribosomal RNA", at positions 339 to 796 of the family's 1533-position model. The record is from RNAcentral.
UUACGGGAGGCAGCAGUGGGGAAUUUUGCGCAAUGGGCGAAAGCCUGACGCAGCAACGCCGCGUGGAGGAUGAAGGUCUUCGGAUCGUAAACUCCUGUCAGGGGGGACGAAUGCCUUAACCGGUUUGACUGUACCCCCUGAGGAAGCCACGGCUAACUCCGUGCCAGCAGCCGCGGUAAUACGGAGGUGGCAAGCGUUGUUCGGAAUUACUGGGCGUAAAGGGCGCGUAGGCGGCAUGGCAAGUCAGAUGUGAAAGCCCCGGGCUUAACUCGGGAAUUGCAUCUGAAACUGCUUUGCUUGAGUCCUGGAGGGGGUAGUGGAAUUCCCAGUGUAGCGGUGAAAUGCGUAGAUAUUGGGAGGAACACCGGUGGCGAAGGCGGCUACCUGGACAGUGACUGACGCUGAUGCGCGAAAGCUAGGGGAGCAAACGGGAUUAGAUACCCCAGUAGUCG